This 1527-nucleotide ribosomal RNA is filed under the name Klebsiella pneumoniae. RNAcentral describes it as "bacterial SSU rRNA". It matches the Rfam family "Bacterial small subunit ribosomal RNA". Lineage: Bacteria; Pseudomonadati; Pseudomonadota; Gammaproteobacteria; Enterobacterales; Enterobacteriaceae. The record is from RNAcentral.
AGAGUUUGAUCAUGGCUCAGAUUGAACGCUGGCGGCAGGCCUAACACAUGCAAGUCGAGCGGUAGCACAGAGAGCUUGCUCUCGGGUGACGAGCGGCGGACGGGUGAGUAAUGUCUGGGAAACUGCCUGAUGGAGGGGGAUAACUACUGGAAACGGUAGCUAAUACCGCAUAACGUCGCAAGACCAAAGUGGGGGACCUUCGGGCCUCAUGCCAUCAGAUGUGCCCAGAUGGGAUUAGCUAGUAGGUGGGGUAAUGGCUCACCUAGGCGACGAUCCCUAGCUGGUCUGAGAGGAUGACCAGCCACACUGGAACUGAGACACGGUCCAGACUCCUACGGGAGGCAGCAGUGGGGAAUAUUGCACAAUGGGCGCAAGCCUGAUGCAGCCAUGCCGCGUGUGUGAAGAAGGCCUUCGGGUUGUAAAGCACUUUCAGCGGGGAGGAAGGCGAUAAGGUUAAUAACCUUGUCGAUUGACGUUACCCGCAGAAGAAGCACCGGCUAACUCCGUGCCAGCAGCCGCGGUAAUACGGAGGGUGCAAGCGUUAAUCGGAAUUACUGGGCGUAAAGCGCACGCAGGCGGUCUGUCAAGUCGGAUGUGAAAUCCCCGGGCUCAACCUGGGAACUGCAUUCGAAACUGGCAGGCUAGAGUCUUGUAGAGGGGGGUAGAAUUCCAGGUGUAGCGGUGAAAUGCGUAGAGAUCUGGAGGAAUACCGGUGGCGAAGGCGGCCCCCUGGACAAAGACUGACGCUCAGGUGCGAAAGCGUGGGGAGCAAACAGGAUUAGAUACCCUGGUAGUCCACGCCGUAAACGAUGUCGAUUUGGAGGUUGUGCCCUUGAGGCGUGGCUUCCGGAGCUAACGCGUUAAAUCGACCGCCUGGGGAGUACGGCCGCAAGGUUAAAACUCAAAUGAAUUGACGGGGGCCCGCACAAGCGGUGGAGCAUGUGGUUUAAUUCGAUGCAACGCGAAGAACCUUACCUGGUCUUGACAUCCACAGAACUUUCCAGAGAUGGAUUGGUGCCUUCGGGAACUGUGAGACAGGUGCUGCAUGGCUGUCGUCAGCUCGUGUUGUGAAAUGUUGGGUUAAGUCCCGCAACGAGCGCAACCCUUAUCCUUUGUUGCCAGCGGUUAGGCCGGGAACUCAAAGGAGACUGCCAGUGAUAAACUGGAGGAAGGUGGGGAUGACGUCAAGUCAUCAUGGCCCUUACGACCAGGGCUACACACGUGCUACAAUGGCAUAUACAAAGAGAAGCGACCUCGCGAGAGCAAGCGGACCUCAUAAAGUAUGUCGUAGUCCGGAUUGGAGUCUGCAACUCGACUCCAUGAAGUCGGAAUCGCUAGUAAUCGUAGAUCAGAAUGCUACGGUGAAUACGUUCCCGGGCCUUGUACACACCGCCCGUCACACCAUGGAGUGGGUUGCAAAAGAAGUAGGUAGCUUAACCUUCGGGAGGGCGCUUACCACUUUGUGAUUCAUGACUGGGGUGAAGUCGUAACAAGGUAACCGUAGGGGAACCUGCGGUUGGAUCACCU